This is a long non-coding RNA of Parus major (Great Tit), 1151 nucleotides long. RefSeq lists it as uncharacterized. The transcript is spliced from 2 exons. NCBI's taxonomy places the organism in Eukaryota, Metazoa, Chordata, Aves, Passeriformes, Paridae. The record is from RefSeq and is a predicted model, not a curated record.
CUUUUCUGAAAAAAAAAAAAAAAUAGUCAAAGCAUACUGCUCAAGGACAUCUGAGGAGAAAUGUGAUGGACUUCUCCCUCUGAAUACCCAACUGAGUAUGUUGAGCUGGAGCUAUCACGAAUGCUACAAUUUAUGCUGCUGCUGGAGAUGUAUCCCUGCCUUUUCUAGAGUGCAGACCUGAGAAUGCACUGGACAGCAGUGGACUCUGCCAGAACUUACUGGAAAAACACUGGCUAAGAUGGUCUGUGUUUUAUCACUCACUGAGAAAGUGUUACUAGCAAAACCACUGGUGCCUAUUUUCUACUGUGUUUACUACGUCUAGCAAUUUUGCAUUUAAUAGUCUUAUUUUGCACAAAAAUCUUAAAUCAAGAGAUAAUUACCACUCUCACUUCAUCUGAAGUAUAAAAAUACCCGGACUCAAACAUUUAAUACCAGAUGUUUUCAUAUUUGCAACAAGGAACAAUAAUUGCUAUAACUAACUGUGGCUCAUCAGAAAAAGUUUGGCAGUUGAUAUUUAAACUUAUAUAUUUGAUUUACCUUCAAAUCCUUGAAGAAAACUCUGGAUUACCCCUUUCUGAGGUUGCAUAAGGAUAAAUAUUACAACAGACACUCUUCAGUUUUCUUCUACAUUUUCUCAAAUUUUGUAUUCUACAUUACAUACCUAUAUCAUAUCUACAUAUCUAUAUUUAUACAGAAGUCAGGGUGAGAUGCCUACAACAUCAGUGCUAAUUGUCCAGUCAUUGAAUCAUGCCUCAGCUGUCUCAGACCCUGGUUCAUACUCCAGUUUGUGAAAUUCCAAGUGCUGAAGGGAAAUUCUAGUUGCAACUGCUCAGGAGCAAUGAUUUGUGACCAAGGAAUGCUGGGGGCAUGGACCAUGGCUGGGCUGAGGUGCCCUAUGCAAUUGCUGUCAGGUUUGGUGCUGAUGCAGGUAUAUGCAAGGAAUCUGAUUGUCAUGUUUUUCUGUAGACUCCAAGCAGAACCACUCCAAGUAGAACAACAUAUUGCAGUAGGACUCUGCAUUGUUCAUUAAAUGUUUAUUUUAUAUUUAAAGUACAAACAUUCUUAAUUCAUCUUGACAGGUACCAUGAAAAUUCUCCAAGCCUGAGACUUCAGGCUUUCUGCCUAAAGCUCAAACCCAGGAAACAAAUACA